GACGAACGCUGGCGGCGUGCUUAACACAUGCCAGUCGAACGGAAAGGCCCUGCUUUUGUGGGGUGCUCGAGUGGCGAACGGGUGCGUAACACGUGAGUAACCUGCCCUUGACUUUGGGAUAACUUCAGGAAACUGGGGCUAAUACCGGAUAGGAGCUCCUGCUGCAUGGUGGGGGUUGGAAAGUCUCGGCGGGUGGGGAUGGACGCGCGGCUGAUCAGCUUGUUGGUGGGGGAGUGGCUUACCAAGGCUUUGACGGGUAGCCGGCCUGGGAGGGUGACCGGCCACAUUGGGACUGAGGUACGGCCCAGACGCCUACGGGAGGCAGCAGUGGGGAAUAUGGCACAAUGGGCGGAAGCCUGAGGCAGCAACGCCGCGUGCGGGAUGACGGCCUUCGGGUUGUAAACCGCUUUCGCCUGUGACGAAGCGUGAGUGACGGUAAUGGGUAAAGAAGCACCGGCUAACUACGUG
This 468-nucleotide ribosomal RNA is filed under the name uncultured bacterium. RNAcentral's name for it is "partial 16S ribosomal RNA". It matches the Rfam family "Bacterial small subunit ribosomal RNA", at positions 28 to 507 of the family's 1533-position model. The record is from RNAcentral.